This 451-nucleotide ribosomal RNA is filed under the name uncultured bacterium. RNAcentral describes it as "partial 16S ribosomal RNA". It matches the Rfam family "Bacterial small subunit ribosomal RNA", at positions 354 to 796 of the family's 1533-position model. The record is from RNAcentral.
GUGGGGAAUAUUGGACAAUGGGCGCAAGCCUGAUCCAGCAAUGCCGCGUGGGUGAAGAAGGCCUUUUGGUUGUAAAGCACUUUAAGCGAGGAGGAGGCUACCGAGAUUAAUACUCUUGGAUAGUGGACGUUACUCGCAGAAUAAGCACCGGCUAACUCUGUGCCAGCAGCCGCGGUAAUACAGAGGGUGCAAGCGUUAAUCGGAUUUACUGGGCGUAAAGCGCGCGUAGGUGGCCAAUUAAGUCAAAUGUGAAAUCCCCGAGCUUAACUUGGGAAUUGCAUUCGAUACUGGUUGGCUAGAGUAUGGGAGAGGAUGGUAGAAUUCCAGGUGUAGCGGUGAAAUGCGUAGAGAUCUGGAGGAAUACCGAUGGCGAAGGCAGCCAUCUGGCCUAAUACUGACACUGAGGUGCGAAAGCAUGGGGAGCAAACAGGAUUAGAUACCCCGGUAGUCC